Molecule: transfer RNA, 68 nt
Filed under: Yunnanilus jinxiensis
Lineage: Eukaryota; Metazoa; Chordata; Actinopteri; Cypriniformes; Nemacheilidae
Description: tRNA-Ser
Source: RNAcentral
AAGGAAGGCCUAGGGGCAAUAAGCACUGCUAAUACUUACAUCCGCGGUUAAACUCCGCGGCUUCCUUA